Long non-coding RNA from Oreochromis aureus, 606 nucleotides. Lineage: Eukaryota; Metazoa; Chordata; Actinopteri; Cichliformes; Cichlidae. The record is from Ensembl.
UACAUACGAUGGGGCGAUCGAUAGCGCACAAGACAACUCCCACGUCGAACUGUUUGAAGCCAACGCGUAGCACUUAACUUUCUCGAUAAGGGAAAUUUUCCUAACCCCCGUUCCCUGGCAGAAGUAUCCCUUUUGUUUAUGAGUUCUCCCUAGACUCAAAGUGGUGUGACAUUUACGGGUGCCUGCUUUGAAGAGAGGCCAACUGCUCUCCGUGCUGUAAAAGAGCCACCUGCCUCCCCUCACCUGCCCUUCUGUGAGAGCUUAGAGAAUAAAAACGCCAGAGUUGCAGUGACAGCUAGACCCUGCCUAGUAGCUACUGUACAGCGCAGCAAACCCCCACCCCCAAUUUUGGCUCUUGCAGGAGACAGAAAAGAAGAUAUAAAGAAGGAGAGCUGUUUUCUUUUCAGUAUCUCCCCUCGGCUAAGUCUGGGGAAUGGCCGAAAUCACCCCUCCUCUCUCCAGUCGCCACAAUCAAAUUUACUCUGGCUUGAGUACACGUUUAGUGGGGACCAUUUGUUUGAGGCAAACACUUAGGGCCCUCGUAUGUCAUUGACCAGUGUCCACAAAUAUAAUCCUAUCAAGUUCAAUCUUAGGAUGUCCUGCGCC